ACCAUGUCACUUUGAAACACCAGUCCUUGUGUGAUCACUGAAAUUAAGCAACAUCAAGUCUGGUCAGUACCUAGAUGGGUGACCGCUUGGGAAUACCAGGUGCUGUAAG
Acanthosepion pharaonis is the source of this 109-nucleotide non-coding RNA. NCBI's taxonomy places the organism in Eukaryota, Metazoa, Mollusca, Cephalopoda, Sepiida, Sepiidae. The record is from the annotation of a GenBank genome assembly.